GAGGUUAUUCCGCUGAUUUCAUUUAUUGUGAGUAGUUGUACACUGAUUAUUGCUGGGAAUCCAUGAAGAAGAUGAAGUUGUUGAAGAACGUAUGAAGUUGUUGAGAGGCUUUAAGAGAGAGAGAGGUUUGUGUAGGAUGUGAGUGAAAAGUGUGAAAGUGUGAAGUGUGGUAACUAUAAAUACAUAAGAAAGGCAUGCAAAACGACAAUGUUAGAUAGAAAAGGAACAGUUAAAUUUAAUGAUGGCACAUAAAAAGAGUUGACACGCUAGGGGAGAAAUUGAUUACAGCUAAUGAUGGAUGUCUAAUCUACAAAUCAGCACACCGCUCGAGGAGAUCUCAAGGGUCUAUCUCUUGAUUUCUGCUCGACAUGUAUCUAGAAGAUCCAAAGUCAGACGCGAGAGGAACCACGUGUUGAUCUAUCUGAUCUUCAGGAAUACCAAGGGAUUGGAUCUUGAGGAUUUAUGAUUCAAAUGACUUCUAACUGGUAGAAGUAUCAAAGUCAGAUCCAGACACCAGAU
RNAcentral lists this long non-coding RNA (519 nucleotides) under Lathyrus oleraceus (garden pea). RNAcentral describes it as "Pisum sativum (pea) long non-coding RNA (PSAT_LNC007389)". Lineage: Eukaryota; Viridiplantae; Streptophyta; Magnoliopsida; Fabales; Fabaceae. The record is from RNAcentral.